This 277-nucleotide long non-coding RNA is filed under the name Setaria viridis. Its description in RNAcentral is "long non-coding RNA (SVIR_LNC001043)". The record is from RNAcentral. Lineage: Eukaryota; Viridiplantae; Streptophyta; Magnoliopsida; Poales; Poaceae.
GUGGAAUAUAACCAUGUUCGUAUCAUCCAAUCAACACAUGUGCUUUUUGUGUUCUGAUGAAUUUAUAUUAAGAACUAAUGAUAUUUUUUAGUGAUAAACGAAGUGUCAAUCGACAGCGACAAACACAAUGUGCGUGUGUGCAUUUAUAUACGCAAGUAUCCAUACAUGUAUGCAUGUAAGUGUUUUGCGUCUAAACUGUAUAUUGAAAUUUUUUUAAACAAAUGUGCUUGGUGUGCAAUUGUGCAUGUCGCGCUCCAGCAGAUGAGUAACGAGUCAG